RNAcentral lists this ribosomal RNA (433 nucleotides) under uncultured bacterium. RNAcentral's name for it is "partial 16S ribosomal RNA". It matches the Rfam family "Bacterial small subunit ribosomal RNA", at positions 29 to 507 of the family's 1533-position model. The record is from RNAcentral.
AACGAACGCUGGCGGCAGGCUUAACACAUGCAAGUCGAGCGAGACCUUCGGGUCUAGCGGCGGACGGGUGAGUAACGCGUGGGAACGUGCCCUUCUCUACGGAAUAGCCCCGGGAAACUGGGAGUAAUACCGUAUACGCCCUUCGGGGGAAAGAUUUAUCGGAGAAGGAUCGGCCCGCGUUGGAUUAGGUAGUUGGUGGGGUAAUGGCCCACCAAGCCGACGAUCCAUAGCUGGUUUGAGAGGAUGAUCAGCCACACUGGGACUGAGACACGGCCCAGACUCCUGCGGGAGGCAGCAGUGGGGAAUCUUAGACAAUGGGGGCAACCCUGAUCUAGCCAUGCCGCGUGAGUGAUGAAGGCCUUAGGGUUGUAAAGCUCUUUCAGCUGGGAAGAUAAUGACGGUACCAGCAGAAGAAGCCCCGGCUAACUCCGUG